AUACGUCGCCGCCGAUGAGUAAGGCACAGAACCCACCGCUUCUCUCCCCAUCUGCAAGAAACUGAGAGAAAACACGGACUUCUGGCGUGAAAUUAGGCCAUUCUCUACUGUCAGUUUUGCUUCUUCAAACAAACAGGAUUUAUCUGUUGAGGAAUGUAUAUGAUCAUAUGAUCUUGGAUGGAGUGAAACCAGAGAAAGAUACAUUUAGCAUGCUGAUUGGUGAUAGCAUGAAAGGUGUUUGUCUGCACAUUUGUUUCUUCUUACAUGUCCAGAUGAAAUCCACGGUUUUGAUUCCUCAUAUUUUGACUCCACAUUUGUUGUCAACUGCUACAAAUGUAACCGAAAAUAUGAUGUGUUUGACCUCAAAGAACACAUUAAGUAAAAAGGAUUUGGCUAAUUAACAAGGGGGUUUUUAUGUUGAGCUUUGGAAAUCUUGUAAAGAUGCUUGUUGAAGAUUGUAGCCACAUACAAGGUUUGUUAAUUGACAUUCGGCAAAUUGGUUGUUGUUGUUUACUACAAAAUAGAAACAAUUCUAAUUUUAUAAUGGUUCAUAAUUAAAUCAUGAAUUAUAAAAAUCUUUUUUUAGUAACUAAUCUAUAAAUUUAAAUAUAAAAUAUUAAUUUCUAGAUAUAAACUAUAAAAAAUUAUAUUAAUCAAAUAGCCUUUUUGGUUUUUUCUAAUUAAUCAAAAUAAUAAAAAUUUAAUCAAAACUAAACCAAAUAAGAUAUAUUUAUUCGGUUAACCAAACAAAAUUAACCAAAAACCGAAUAACCCAAACAAAAUAAACCAAACAUCAUUUGGUUUGGUUCAAUUAUUCGGUUUUGGUUUUUUAUCACAACUCUAAUAUUAGAGUUUGAAAACUCAAAAAAACGUUAAAGCUCCAAAUCAAGCAAUGAAUAAAAUUUUUUGAUCUUACAUUAAUGAUUAGAUGAGAGAAACAAAGUUAGAAAUUACUUCAUAUGCUCAUAAUAGAUAAAAACUUCUAAUUUAGAGAAAUCCCAAACCCUAGGUCGAGUUUAGAUGAAGCAGAAGAAACGACUUGAUAAUAUUUAAUAUUGUGUCUCAAGAAUGUGAUUCUAGCUUCUAAUAUUCAACUAAUCUUUAAAUUCACCUCUAAUUUUCCCCCUAACUCUAAAAUCACCAUCAAGAUUUCCAAUGUCUUCCCAAAACCAUUCAUAAGAGGGAAAGGGUAGAAUUAGGGCUUUGAUUUUCAAUCUUUUCUCUAUUGACACUAUCAAGUUUUAAGUUUCUUACUGGUAUAUUUAACCCAAAAGGUUAUAAUAUUAUUACAAGGAAUAUAUGAGGAAUUAGAUUCCUAACAUUAUUGAUCCCAACUAAGUGAAGACAAGGUCAAACCUAAGUUUCAUCAUAGUUUUGUCUAUCAUGUUUUAAGUUUCUUACUCGUCUUUUUAACUAACUUUAUUUAACCCAACUAAGUCAAGCAGUGACGGAACCAUGAUAAAGUGGUAUCUAAAAACAUCACGUAAUACAAAAUAAGAAAAAAAUAAAAACCGCAAUUUCAUUAGACAUAAAGUUCAACUUCAACGUUUUCGGUUGCGACGGCCAAAACCAAAGUUAGUUCUAAUAAUCUAUAAACCAAAGAAAAAGAGAGGUGUUUUUCAGUUUCCACCAAACGCGAGAGAUCCACAAUUCCCUUCAAGUUGAAAAUUUUAUUAUCAUGGAGCAAAAAGUGAUAAUAGAUAUCUUUAACAUCCGUUUUGAUUCCGAUAAGUAAUUUUUUUCAAAAGAAAAUAAUAAUAAUAAUAAUAAUAAUAAUAAUAAUAAUAAUAAUAAUAAUAACUACAACAAAAAGAAAAACAAUAAAAGCAAUAUCAAUAGUAAUAAUAAAAAUAAAUCAUUAUUUUUUAAAUAAACAUAAUAUAUAUGUCAACGGUAACUUUCCAAAAACUAUUUUAGUUAAAAUAAGUGAAAUUUAAGGUAGAUUUAGGUUAUAUGCCAAACAUGAGGGACCAUUUGUGUCAAAAGCCGAAAUAUGGAGCUUGUUCUUUAUUUAUUGCAACAUCGUAGUGUACGCUAAAGACCUUUUCUCGAUUCAGGCUAGUAGGAACGCAAAUCUGGGAAAGCCUCUUAACCCUUACCCUUAAUAACCUUCCCUUAAACCAUUUGAAUCGCUUCUCCCUUCUCUUAGCUACCAAACCCGAGAGAAAAAGACUGAAAAAUAAGUGAGGUCGGGUAGGGUUUUAGUGAGGAAAAAGACACUACAAGCUCGAUCACCGUAACUAUACUAUUGGAAAUUUUGAAGGGGCAUCCCGAGCUACCCGGGGCUCCAAGGUGGAUCCGCCCCUGAAGUCAAGACAAUGUUGAACCCAAGUUUCAUCAAAUUGACAAAUUUAAGUCUCAUCUAUCAAUAGCUUUUCCGAAAAAAUCAUUUACCAGUAUUUCCAACAUAGAAGCUAUAACUUAAACUAUUACAUAUUAAUUUAUUACAAGUUAAUCCUCAAACAUAGUUUCACAAGUUAAAUCCGAGUUAUGCACAAGUUUCCCAAACUUGGUAAAUAACAUAAACUAUUACAUAUUAAUUUAUUACAAGUUAAUCCUCAAACACAGUUUCACAAGUUAAGUCCGAGUUAUGCACACAUUUCCCAAACUUGGUAAAUAUAGUCCACUGAUACUAAAAUCUUGAUUUAACCUAAUUACGCUUUCUAACAACAUCAAAACUUUAAGUUCACUUAUAAAGCCAAAAGUUCUAGCCCCAAGACUCUAACUCAUUAUUUUGUUCAUUUGUUAUGGAUGACAUUUCAUAAGACAAGCUUAAGUUUCACCUUUUUAUCACAUAAUUCUUUUCCAAUAAUAAAGUUCUAACAAGAGCUUACAAAAUCGGUUAUCCAAAAUUUUGGAUACUUUGAGAGUUUCUAAGACUGAUAUUCGGAUCCGCAUCCAAAAAUUGGAUGCAAAAUCGAACCUCAAAACUUUUUAUAUGAAUAUAGUAUAUUCAAAUUUCAUCCAAAAGUUCUACAAUGUUUUCUCAUCCACAUAAUAGAAUUGUAUAUUUGGUUUAUCAACAUAGUAUCUUCCUUAAAAUUAUAGAUACUCUACAUAAGCCAACGGAUUUAGACAAAGGUAUCAAACACGUAUAAAGAAGGAACCAUCGAAAAUAUACCUCAAUUAAGUGUCGGUGUCACCAAAUGUUAAAACCAAAUAUACAAGGAAUUGCAAUUACAAAGGAUAAUAUUACAUAAAACAUUAGAAAAAUAAAAAGAAGAAUUUUGGAUUUUUUUGGUUUAUACGAGUACCAGAAAUUUUUGGAAAAUCACUACCCUAAAUCCGUUUCCAAAAUUACGGAUAUCUAAGUUUUAGAUAGCUAAAUUUUCCGAUAUCCAACAUUUCAUAAUUUUUUGGAUCAGAUUUCCGUAUUUUCAAAUCGAAUUAGCUAAGGCUGGCUAUUAUUACAAAUUUAUUUAUAAUACCCUACAAGCCCCCCCGAGCUACAAGUUGAACAAAUUUAUUUUAACAUAUUACUUAAGUGAUUUUGGCUGCUUGAGUUUCUUUCUAAAGAGCAUGUAAAGAGUGGCACCCAUCAAUGGCAAUGUUGAUAUGACAGCAAUGUACGUAAGCAUCCAUGUUGAUCUUCUGUUUUGUUGGAACAGCUGCUCCAACCAUUUUUUGAUGCUAUUCAAAUCAGCUACUUUGACCGAUGUUUGACCA
Long non-coding RNA from Lactuca sativa (garden lettuce), 3666 nucleotides. RefSeq lists it as uncharacterized. NCBI's taxonomy places the organism in Eukaryota, Viridiplantae, Streptophyta, Magnoliopsida, Asterales, Asteraceae. The record is from RefSeq and is a predicted model, not a curated record.